This 222-nucleotide unclassified non-coding RNA is filed under the name uncultured fungus. Its description in RNAcentral is "sequence contains ITS1". Lineage: Eukaryota; Fungi. The record is from RNAcentral.
GUAUAAGUUUAUCAACGCCGUUUUAAAGCGAGGAUAUGGAUUUUACAUUCUAUGAAAACAUGCGUGUAUGAAGACGUAGGGGCCUUUUUUACGGACCCUUACAUUGGGUUCACGGUGUGUGUGUGGAUUAAAGGCUCAGGUGUGCACAUGCCCCAAAAGGCCAGCUACAACCCUCACCAGUAAUUUUCAAUAAUGAUCCUUCCGCAGGUUCACCUACGGAAA